Molecule: unclassified non-coding RNA, 226 nt
Filed under: Bombus terrestris (buff-tailed bumblebee)
Lineage: Eukaryota; Metazoa; Arthropoda; Insecta; Hymenoptera; Apidae
Description: misc RNA ENSBTSG00005033523.1
Source: RNAcentral
GAGAGAAAUACGAUUGGUAGGGAUAUUGAUCUUCCGUGGGAGGUGCCAUGUGCAGCGUCGCCGUUCAAGCGACUUCGCGAUUCUUCUUCCCUAGAUCACUCUCUACUCCCGUUGUUUCCCUUCUUUACCAAUCCUUGCUUUCCCUUCGAUCCUCUGCUACCCUUUCUACUGUCGCUUAUCUGAUGGUUAAUUCCUUCGAAGACCUCUGAUGAUUUGGGAUCCCAAU